Molecule: long non-coding RNA, 1436 nt
Organism: Nothoprocta perdicaria
Lineage: Eukaryota; Metazoa; Chordata; Aves; Tinamiformes; Tinamidae
Exons: 5
Source: RefSeq, a predicted model, not a curated record
CAUUUAAGCCCAGGCCAGGGUAGCAUAUGUUUUCUUCUAGAUAGACCUCMCUCUGUUGUUCCUGAUAUGCCAACAGAACUUCCUGGAUUCUUCRAGUCUGACUAGUUACCUUGCUUUUUGUGUGGUGGUUAUUAGAUUGCUGAAUGAUCUAUUGCUCUCACUACUGCUGCUUUGCUAACUGUGAUUGGGUACUGAGGAGCAAUGACUGCUGGAGGAAUCUGGAGAUCACCUCAAUGCCUGGUUCAUCUKAUUUGUUGGGAAGUGAUGCUCUUGCUGCACUGAGACAAGUGCAGAAAAUAUUCAGAGAUACUAAUCAGCCUUGGUGGCAGGAUGGGACUAAUGACAUUUCACUUGCUGUGAGCUGUGAUGAUUACCUUGCUACAUUGUCAGUCACUCCAUUCAGCUAUGCUAUUCGACUGUUCCUAUGGUAUUUUUGAUGGCUUCCUACUGCAUCAGUUUAAGGCAUCGCAUAGAAAGAGUGUGCAWACCUAUAGCUGUCCUCAUAGCUUGAAGAAAAACAAUAGGGACCCCAUUGUGGAUUUAGAGAAUUCCAAGACACUUCUCUCAAGAUCUUCAUUAUGGAAGAAACUGGUGUGAUCCUUAGACUACAGUGUACAACUUCAGCAAAAGGAAAAGAUUUCAUGCAAAUUGGUUUAAUUCAGGAACUCGAUUAUCAAAGACACAAGAUAAUUAAAACAUUGUUUUUGUUUUAUUUGACCAAGUUUAAUACUAAAACACAUGUGGAACUAAGACCUAUUAUAGCAAUUUACUUUUAAAUACUUAAAUAUUCAUAAGAUUUUUUUCAUUUUGACUUUUAGAAUGACAAGUCUCAAUUAGUACUCCUUUCACUAUGCAUGUAAUGAAAUAUAGCUUUUCUUUUUUACUCUAUGAGAGUGAGACAUCGCAGAUAUUGCACAAAGUGCACAGUGUCAGUAGUUUCCUACCAAUGAAGUACUUCGAAGAACAGUUUAUCCUCCAAGCAUUCCUUAAGAACAAUUACUUCGAGUGGCAACACCUGGAUGCAAGUAUUUCCUUAAAGAUGUAAAUAAUUUCUUAGCAAUAUGUUCAUGAUUAACUGCAUAUUUAAUGUAGCAUUGAUUCUUCUGAAAUUAAUUUUAUGAAAAAAACUUUCCCACACUUAAAGAAAAUGUAAUAUCAGUAUCCUGCAAUAUCACCUCUGUCCAUGUAUUAUCCACUGUGUACCUUUAUUGGAUGAAAAUACAGGUAUUAAAGCAACUUGUUGAAUUCUAUAACAACCUCCUUUUUUCCACUUAGCAGAUUGAUGUCCGAACUAACACAAGUCGUAUUUGUUUUAAGUUUCACUCAUUUUUUAUUUAUGAAUUAUUCACAUAUGGAUUAAAUAUUUUAUCUUAUGCACUUGUUAUUACUGAAUGCUCACUGAGAUGUUACAUUGACAGUUAUUUCUUGUAUAUUUG